CACGUAGGCACCAAGCGUUGUCCGGAUUUAUUGGGCGUAAAGAGCUCGUAGGCGGUCUGUCGCGUCGGCUGUGAAAACCCGAGGCUCAACCUCGGGCCUGCAGUCGAUACGGGCAAACUAGAGUACUGCAGGGGAGACUGGAAUUCCUGGUGUAGCGGUGAAAUGCGCAGAUAUCUGGAGGAACACCGGUGGCGAAGGCGGCGUUCUGGACUGUCUCUGACACUGAAGAACGAAAGCCAGGGGAGCAAACGGG
RNAcentral lists this ribosomal RNA (253 nucleotides) under uncultured bacterium. RNAcentral's name for it is "partial 16S ribosomal RNA". It matches the Rfam family "Bacterial small subunit ribosomal RNA", at positions 524 to 776 of the family's 1533-position model. The record is from RNAcentral.